AUGCGCUGUAUUAAAGGAAGAGGGAAUCUUAUUUUAGUAAAAAUUAACCAGACAGCCCCUCCCCCCAAGUCUUCUGCAAUUGCCCAUUGUGAAACAGCCCACAGUGGUAACAGCGGGGAUUGUCACACUGUCCCUUUCCAGAAGAGGUGGGGCUCCUCCCCUCGGCCCCUUCCCCUCCACGCGCCUCCUGGUUUCGGCCGGCCCGUCCUCUCCUUGCACUGCCAGGGACUUGCACUUGCUGCCGCUCUGCCAACCACACCUACUCACGUGCUUUCCCAAAAGCAAAAGCUAUUCAUUUUCCCCAGCGAUGGAAACAGCAGAUUCUGGGUGAGUUCUCUGGGACACCAAGAACCUGGGAAGAAUCUCUAGAAGUUGCCCAUAGCACCCCAGAUGCCAGUACCAGGUUGAAUUCUAACUUAGGCAUUUAAGAAUGUGAUUCUGUAAAGGUGUGAGCAAGGGAGCCGGGGUCUAAGGGUGGAUCCUAACCAGCACGACUGUGUCCUCACAGGAAGCAGAGGUCAGGACACAGGCAUACUCACAAGACAACUCUGAGGACCCAGGGAGAAGAUGCCCUCUGCAAGCCAAGGAGCGAGGGCCCUCCUAGAUCCUGGCUCUUGGACUUCCAGCCUCCACAACUGUGAGACCAUCAAUGUCUGCACCCCCAAACCAGCAGUGGUUUGUUACUGUGGCCCAGCAGAGUUAUGACCUGGUUCUUAUUCUGCUCUAACCACAUGGUUUCUCAGCCAUUCCCAGACAGCCAGGCACACUCCUGCCCCAGGACCUUGGCACAGGCUGUCCCCUGCCUGGCUGCUUACAGCUCUGGCCCUGCCUGCUUCAGGUCAUUCUCAGAUACCUUGCCCUUCCCCAAUGCCUUCCUUGGUCCCAAUCUCUGCUCCUUCCUGACUUCUUGGCAUCUUGUCUGUCUUCUUUUGUUACUGUCUUCUUCUCACCAGAUGUGGCCUCUACAGGCAGUUUUGUUUGCAUCCCGGGAGGGGAACAGGGCUGAACCAUCUCAUCACUGCAUCAUUUUUUGUUGCUGAAUGAAGGAACAAAUGAAUGGAGUGAGCUGCUCGGGCCGUGGAUUAACUCCUUCCUCACAAGCAAGCAUCCUUGUCAUCUCCUGGGAGGAAAUAAAGGUUAAGUGAGGAGCCCAAGGUGACACCUGCCGUUGGCAUGAGAAUAUGGAUGAGCAUCCCAGCAACCUGACCCUGCACGUUGGUCCUGAAUCCCCUCUGUCCCUGGGCCAAGGAGGGGGGGCCUGUGCACUGCCAUGUAUGGAAAAUCAGCCAAAGUAGCCCCUGGGUGGAUCUUGGGCUCCCUGGUUUGGAAAAGCAAAGAUCCUUCCUGCACUUCAAAAGGAGGCCAUAGCUCCCAGUGGAUAUGCAUAUACCCAGUUACCGAUUAAUGGGAAGGAAUUGGUAUGUGUGUGUUUAAAAAUGAGUUGUUUUAUGUGUGGUGGUGAUGCUGAGUAUUUCUGAGUGUGCAGACAAUCAGCCUUGGGAAUGCUUUCAGAACCAGGAAACUACAAUGCACACUAUUUGAAAACAUGAUGGGAUUUUUCUGAACGCCAAAUUUGGUUGUUUCUGAAGUCAAUAAAUACUGUGUUUUGUACAGAACUAAGUAGAUAGUUUUGUUUUUAUAGUUUUCAGCCUUCGAGGGAAG
Molecule: long non-coding RNA, 1662 nt
Organism: Cavia porcellus (domestic guinea pig)
Lineage: Eukaryota; Metazoa; Chordata; Mammalia; Rodentia; Caviidae
Source: Ensembl